CAGCAGCCGCCGCGGUAAUACGGAGGGGGCUAGCGUUGUUCGGAAUUACUGGGCGUAAAGCGCACGUAGGCGGCUUGGUAAGUUAGAGGUGAAAGCCCGGAGCUCAACUCCAGAAUUGCCUUUAAGACUGCCGAGCUAGCAGGUGAGAGAGGUAAGUGGAAUUCCGAGUGUAGAGGUGAAAUUCGUAGAUAUUCGGAAGAACACCAGUGGCGAAGGCGGCUCACUGGACGACUGUUGACGCUGAGGUACGAAAGCGUGGGGAGCAAACAGGAUUAGAUACCCCGGUAGUCCCUGUCUCUUAUAC
Molecule: ribosomal RNA, 304 nt
Filed under: uncultured bacterium
Lineage: Bacteria
Description: partial 16S ribosomal RNA
Rfam family: Bacterial small subunit ribosomal RNA
Source: RNAcentral